GAAUAAAGUAAAGACGUAAUUGCAAGUAAUUCUAGGUGAGUCAUACGAAUUCUUAGGAACCGCAACUAUUGGCCGUCCCUUUAGUUAUUCUAGGAAGGGCUAUCGCCUUGGUUCGGAGGCCGUCUAAUUAUCCAACUAAUACAACGCCGUGGUCUGCUGGUCGGACCUCUUGUACGUAAAAACCGACAGGCCCUAAAGAUAAUGACGGCGUUACUUGGACCCUAGAUGCAACGAGCUUUCAUUAGCACGUCGUUUAGUCGGUACCUUUUAACCCGGUUCUUUUAACCCUAAUUUUCUAAGGUUGACCUCGGAUCAGGUAGGAAUACCCGCUGAACUUAA
This 339-nucleotide ribosomal RNA is filed under the name uncultured fungus. RNAcentral describes it as "eukaryotic LSU rRNA". The record is from RNAcentral. Lineage: Eukaryota; Fungi.